This 439-nucleotide ribosomal RNA is filed under the name uncultured bacterium. RNAcentral's name for it is "partial 16S ribosomal RNA". It matches the Rfam family "Bacterial small subunit ribosomal RNA", at positions 338 to 795 of the family's 1533-position model. The record is from RNAcentral.
CCUACGGGAGGCAGCAGUGGGGAAUAUUGCACAAUGGGGGAAACCCUGCUGCAGCGACGCCGCGUGAGUGAAGCAGUAAUUCGUUAUGUAAAGCUCUAUCAGCCGGGACGAAAAUGACGGUCCCUGAGUAAGACGCCCCGGCUAACUACGUUCCAGCAGCCGCGGUAAUACGUAGGGGGCCAGCGUUAUCCGGAUUUACUGGGUGUAACGGGAGCGUAGACGUCAGUGCAGGGCUGGAGUGAAAGGCGGGGGAUAAACACCCGGACUGCUCUGGAAACGGUACGGCGGGAGUGAAGGAGAGGUAAGUGAAUUACUAGUGUAGCGGUGAAAUGCGUAGAUAGUAGGAGGAACACCAGUGGCGAAGGCGGCUUACUGGACUGUAACUGACGUUGAGGCUCGAAAGCGUGGGGAGCAAACAGGAUUAGAUACCCCAGUAGUC